AUUGAACGCUAGCGGGAUGCCUUACACAUGCAAGUCGAACGGAGUGGCGAACGGGCGGGUAAUGUAUCGGAACGUGCCCACUAGCGGGGGAUAACUACGCGCAAGCGUAGCUAAUACCGCCUGCUAUUGGAGAGGCCGAUAUGGGAUUAGCUAGGUGGGGGGGUAACGGCCCACCAAGGCGACGAUCCGUAGCUGGUUUGAGAGGACGACCAGCCAAACGGGGACUGAGACACGGCCCAGACUCCUACGGGAGGCAGCAGUGGGGAAUUUUGGACAAUGGGGGAAACCCUGAUCCAGCCAUCCCGCGUGUGCGAUGAAGGCCUUCGGGUUGUAAAGCACUUUUGGCAGGAAAGCGGUACCUGCAGAAUAGGCACCGGCUAACUACGUGCCAGCAGCCGCGGUAAUUC
RNAcentral lists this ribosomal RNA (407 nucleotides) under uncultured bacterium. RNAcentral's name for it is "partial 16S ribosomal RNA". It matches the Rfam family "Bacterial small subunit ribosomal RNA", at positions 30 to 526 of the family's 1533-position model. The record is from RNAcentral.